Molecule: long non-coding RNA, 271 nt
Filed under: Mytilus galloprovincialis (Mediterranean mussel)
Lineage: Eukaryota; Metazoa; Mollusca; Bivalvia; Mytilida; Mytilidae
Source: RNAcentral
GGUCGUUUCAACAAAGCGUCUGGUAAAAAAAUGUCUUUAGACACUCUUACAGAUUUUGAAAUGCUUCUUAAAUAGUUACGAUUGUGUUCUGCACAGGGUUGUGGUGUAUUGUUUAAAUCUUUAUUAAAUUUUGUUCAUCUAGACCUCUGGAAUGAUUUUUCAAGUGAAUAUCUUUGUUAACUCUUUGUGAAUUAGUUUUAUGCAUGAAGCGAAUUUUUAUUUAUCAAUUGUUUACCAAUCUCUUAAACACAUUAUUUGUACUGAAUAAAAG